AUGCUACAGUUUAUUAGAGAUGGGUUGAUCGGGAUAUCAGAAUUAGCCAGUAAGGGCUAGAGCUAAUGGGCCAAGCAGUGUUUAAAUGAAUACAAUUUGUGUGUUGUUAUUUCAGGGCAUAAGCUAGCCAAGCGGCCAGGAGCUGGGGGCGGCAGGAACACAGCCUGCAGCUCUUACUACAGCCCCCAUGUCUACACAUCAUCCCAGCAAUGGUGCUGGUAGACAAAGAUGCAGAUAAACUAACCCUAGGACAAAGCCUGACCAUGGGUACCCCACAUGCCAUUGAAGGAAUCCUAAAACAGCCACUGGCUGAGUAAUGGCAGGGUCACUUACUAUCAAGACCUGCUGUUAAAUCCUGCUAGAAUAACCUUUCAGGUACCAACCACACUCAAUCUGGCCACAUCACUGAUGGACCCAAACUUGGAAGCUCCCCUCCAUGAUUGCGAGGGAAUCCUGGCACAGGUGCAUUGCGUCCGAUCCAACCUUCAGGACACCUUGCUAUCAGACAUGGAAGAGACCUGGUUCACUGAUGAGAGCAGGUACAUGCGGGAUGGACACAGUCUUUGUAGAUAACUUUUCAAGCUGGACGGAGGAGUUCCUGACCAAACACGAGACUGCCUAUGUAGUUGCCAAAAAGAUUCUUGAAGUAAUUCUUCCCAGGUUUGAUGUCCCACACAUGUCUGGGUCAGAUAAUGGACCUGCCUUCGUCUCUCAGCUGCAUACCUUCCAGCCUGGAGAUUGGGUCUUGGUCCUGGCGACAUCAACACCGCAGCAUCAAGCCGUGCUGAAAGGGACCAUACCUGGUGAUCCGUACGACUCCCACCACAAUCGAAGUGGAUGGAAUUGCCCCCUGGGUUCACCACACCCACAUUCGACUAUUCCAUUAGUCACCAGUGGAGGAAAACUGGAAAUCACACCUAGAUCCCAGCAACCCCCUGCGAUUAAAACUUCACUAAAAUGGCAACCUUGCUACUGCUGUUGGCCCUGCUUCUGCUCCAGAUGCCGGACUGCGCGCCACCAACCAACCCCCAUCAGCCAGUACAGCAGACAUGGACUGUAUACAUUCCCAGGGCUGGACUUUCACCCGCUGGAGCGCUGGCGGUUCAUCCAGGUCAAUGGUAUCUUUGCCUAGGACACACCUAAAAAUUUUGGUCAGGAUGUUGGGGAAGGGGAGAUUUUUAUUGUGCAAAAUGGAGAUGUGAAACCAAUGCUAGUCCAGGGCACAGUGUCAGCAGGAUUUAAUCCAAGUCACCUGGAAAUAUCCCCGGAGUUCUCCUCCUCCAGGUCCCCUAGGGAUGAUUAAAUUCAUCCCCGAAGGUAAAAAUGCAGACUGGGUAACACCAAAACAUGGGGACUGCGAUUUUACGACUCCACUGGCUCAGAUUACAGGGUGCUCAUCUCUACAGCCCAGUCUUUCCAGCUAUCCACGUUUUCUAUAGGCCCAAACAUUAUUCCGAGCUGCCCCAAGGGUACUCGAGCUCCGGAAACCUUGCUCCCAGAGAUAUUUACCCCAAUCCCGCAUUUACCUUCCACGACACUGUACCCUGCACCGGUUUCACCUUCAGCUGACAGACUACUAAAAUUAUGCGUCUUUUGCAUUCUUAAAUAAUUCAGCCCCUAAUCUCACCACUGCUUGCUGGCUUUGCCUAUAUGCUCAGCUUCCAUAUUAUGAAGGGAUUGCCAUCAUAUCUGAUAAUACCGUCACCCAAGAAGCUUCCUGUUGCAGAUGGCAAUCUCAGGUCUCACUCACCCUGCCUGGAAUACAAGGUUAUGGCACUUGCCUUGGAGAGGUGCCCCCCCCCCCAAUCUAAGACAAUAUUGCAACAAUUUCGUUGCCCUGAGUCAGCAGAAAUGGGGUACAUUGUACCCCCCCCCCCGAAGGUGCCUGGUGGGCCUGUUCCAUCAGCCUAACUCCUUGUUAGUAAGUAUAGUAUAAGUAUAUGCAUAUACUUAGUAUCAUUUCCAAGUAUUGGAUCAUAGUUAGACUCAUCCCCGAGGUGGUCUACCAUGACACCGAUUUCCUAGCCCAUGGUCAACAGCUCCCCUUCUCAGGACAAAGAGAGAGCCCUUUACCACCCUUACCUUGGCCAUCUUCCUUGGGGCAUGGUUGACAGGAUUAGGCAUGCGGACCGCAGGCCCUGUCACCCAACAGGCUGGAUACCAGCAUCUACGUAAGUCCAUUGACGAAGACGUCCAACACCUAGAGUCAUCUAUGUUGAGCCCGGAGGCCUCCCUAGACAGUUUAGCUGAGGUAGCCUUACAAAAUAGAAGAGGACUAGAUCUGUUACUUCUUCAGCAAAAGGGCCAAUGCACGGCCCUAGUAGAAGAGUGCUUCUCCUAUGCCAAUAAGACAGGGGUAAUUAGGCAAACAGUGGCUAAAAUACAGGACAGUUUGUUACACAGACAAAAGGAACCUGACGCUUCCCAAGGAUGGUUUGAGUCCCGGUUUUCAUCGUCCCCUUGGCUAACAACAUUGGUAACUUUAAAGAUUUAAAAACUUUGCAACAUCAAGAAAAACAGGGUAUCUAACUAGGACAUUGAGUUCAAGCACAAACCACAAAAUGUUCCUGGCAGCUGGCCACCUGUCAACACCCAACUUCGUGGUCUACCAGGGAACAGCAGAAGCAACCGCUUUGGGGAGGCGGGGCAUGCUAGAGAUAAUUCACACCUGUUGUUAUGUAAACCAGCUUCCUUGACCCAAAAUAAACCCGGCUUGCGGUUUUUGCCUAUAUAUGCCAGCCUCAAUUGAGAAUGGGGGCUUCACCCUACUGUGCUACGCUGAGUAGAGGUUGAGCUCCCAGCCUGGCAUGGACUUCGCACGCUGAAUAAACCUUGCUUUUGCAUUCUGGACUUGACUGGAUUCAGGUGGUCUCUCUGGGGGUCUAGACUUGGACACAACAAGCUUGACUUGUUUUGUUCUAGCAACAGAAAACUAUGAAUGUAGCCUGUGACCUUCAAUUGGGUUUCAUGUAUCUCAAGCAGGUAGCUGAGGAUAACCUUGAAGCAAUCAAUCUUCCUGUCUCCGUCUCCGCUUCCUGAGUGCUGAUACUAGAAGACACUAGAAGAUGCGCUACUAUACCGAACUUUUUCCUGCUUUGAAUUACUUAGAAAAUACCAUCAAAGGCAGGUCAUGAAACUGAAAGUGCUAGUCUCAGCGAAGGUAGGUUAAAUUGUUUCUAAGCAGAUGACUGUACACUGCAUGAGUUUUCCUGAGGUGGUGCAAACACAUAUCUAUUUUCCUCAAAUAGGGCACUUAGUGGCAGAGCAAAUAGAUGAUUCUUCCCAAGUCCUUCUUAGUGAAUUGGUGGGUUUUAUAGAGUUAUUUAUUAUAAUAGGUGAGGGGUUACCCACAGGGGCACGGGUGGCUGAAAAGCAACUACAGACAGAAGAAAAUCUCACUCCAGCUAAAAGACCCCCAGUGUAGGGAGACUCUCACUCAAGUCUCGGGAUAACAUGACCUCCCCAGUAACUCACAAGAGACUGUCCUUGUUGCAGUCAUGUGAGGUUUUAAUCGAUGAGAAGGGAACCAGUGCACUGGGGCCGAGACUCAUAACCCAUGCAAGGGAAGAGUUCGACCCUGAGUGACCAAGAGAAGUGGUUUUUAUAGGAAGAAACCACAGCCCAGUAAUCCGAAAGGUGCAUGGAGGAUGUCACAGAAAAUCACAAGAGGGCAACUCUCUGCCUCUCAAGAUCACUCAAGGUCAUAAUCAGCUAGUUCCUGAGUCCGGAGCCAUUUUCCCAAAGAUUAUAGUAGGGACUAUUGUCCUAAGGAUGUUUUCAGAGAGCCCCACACCCCAACUGUAUUGAGAACUGUUUGUUGGCAGAGCCCACCCCAUACCCAACUAUCUUGAGAGCUAUCUGUUAGCGGAAUCUGCCCCACAUUCCAACUAUCUAGAGAACUGUUUGUGGUUGGAAUCACAAAAGGAACGAUUUCGUUUGCAUAGAGAACACUAGGUGUGUCGACUUGUGACCAUUGCUGCCCCUGCCCCCACCCCAAGCCAAAUUCCUCAUUCAAGGGCUUUAUAAGCCACAACCCUUUCGCUAAUACAGUGAGACCUUGACAAGAACUCUGCUUGGUCUCCUUUCUCUUUCCCGCCCACGUCUUUUCAGAUCGGGACCCUGGAAUAACUGACCUGCCAGGCAGGUUACAACCCUAGACUAACUGACCCACUGGGUGGUUACAUUCCUGAAACACAGUAUUCCAAAAAUACCAAUGAUAAUCACAAGGGGGGAAACUCUGGUUCUCAAGAUUUUUAUUUUUGUGUGUGUGUGUGUGGGGGGGGGUUAAUAGAUGUCUUUAUUUGUUCCUCUCUCCAACACAGCCCGUUUAAAUAAAUCUCCUUGAUCUGAUUUUCACCAUUGUCUUAUAAAUUGGAGGAUUGUUGCCAGGCAGUGGUGGCACAUACAUUUAAUCCCAGCACUUGGGAGACAGAGGCAGGUGGAUCUCUGUGUGUUCGAGGUCAGCCUAAUGUACAAAGCUAGUGCCAGGACAGGCUCCACAGCUAUAGAGACACCCUGCCUCGAAAAAAACACAAAUAAAUAAACACACAUAUACACAGACAGACAAACAACCAAACAAAAUGAACUGGAGGAUUGUGGAUGAGCAGUCCAGCACAGCUUGUGAGGAUGUCCGAAGCCCAGGCUCUGAUCCCAGCAGUGACUAAGCUAAGGCCUAGUCACCAAUGUGACAGUGUUGAUAGGUGAUGGGCCAUUCUGAGGUGAUGGACGAAAGUCUUCCUCCCAGAAGUGAACUCUUAUUCUUGUAGGACUGGGUCAGUGAUGGCGAGAACACUGUGAAGCAUCUAGUUGCCUCUACCCCUGCCCUCUAUUUCCCAUGUGUACAUUGGAUGUUCUGACACACUUCUGUUUCCCGAUGCUUCUGCCACCUGAUCUACUAGGUUAUGACCAGGAGGAGACCCUUACCAGAUGCAGCAACCCAAUCUUGAACUUUCCUGUCUCCAAAACUACAAGCUAAACGAAUCCAUUUGCUUCGCAAAUGGCACAGUCUCUGGUAUUCUGAUAUAGCAAUGGAAAAUGAACUAACACACUAAUUCUUCCCAGAAGUGCUUUGUUUUCAUGUGAAGUGUUAUGUGGGAACCUAUGGAGCUUGGGCUAUGGUUUCUGAUAUCUAGGGAGCAAACUUUCCACCUCACUUAACGGUUGUACCUGCAUUACUUUUCUGACUCAAACACCCUGACUCUGUAUAAUUUAGGCAGAAUAUGUUCAGAACCUCACAAGAGAUUCUUCUUCUUCUUCUUUUUCUUCUUCUUCUUCUUCUUCUUCUUCUUCU
This is an RNA transcript of Alexandromys fortis (reed vole), 5290 nucleotides long. RefSeq lists it as uncharacterized. The transcript is spliced from 4 exons. The record is from RefSeq and is a predicted model, not a curated record. Lineage: Eukaryota; Metazoa; Chordata; Mammalia; Rodentia; Cricetidae.